RNAcentral lists this non-coding RNA (166 nucleotides) under Pseudomonas sp. BAY1663. RNAcentral describes it as "sRNA regulator of biofilms A". It matches the Rfam family "sRNA regulator of biofilms A". Rfam says of the family: Bacterial strain with deleted SrbA had reduced biofilm mass. However, the deletion of srbA had no effect on growth or antibiotic resistance in P. aeruginosa. The record is from Rfam by way of RNAcentral. Lineage: Bacteria; Pseudomonadati; Pseudomonadota; Gammaproteobacteria; Pseudomonadales; Pseudomonadaceae.
ACCAGGGGCCCUGGCAAGGGUCUCCGGAGUGCGCUCAAGCCAACCAGCCGAGCCGCUCCGUGACUGUACUGCCCACAAGGUGGACUGACGAGGUUGCGACUGGAACGAGUCGUCCUGAGGGACGGGGAAGCGAUUAGCGUAUCAGCCAGACAGUUCCUCGUUGUUC